RNAcentral lists this ribosomal RNA (465 nucleotides) under Vreelandella stevensii. RNAcentral describes it as "partial 16S ribosomal RNA". It matches the Rfam family "Bacterial small subunit ribosomal RNA", at positions 338 to 795 of the family's 1533-position model. Lineage: Bacteria; Pseudomonadati; Pseudomonadota; Gammaproteobacteria; Oceanospirillales; Halomonadaceae. The record is from RNAcentral.
CCUACGGUUGGCUGCAGUGGGGAAUAUUGGACAAUGGGCGAAAGCCUGAUCCAGCCAUGCCGCGUGUGUGAAGAAGGCCUUCGGGUUGUAAAGCACUUUCAGUGGGGAAGAAAGCCUUGGGGCUAAUACCCUCGAGGAAGGACAUCACCCACAGAAGAAGCACCGGCUAACUCCGUGCCAGCAGCCGCGGUAAUACGGAGGGUGCGAGCGUUAAUCGGAAUUACUGGGCGUAAGGCGCGCGUAGGCGGUCUGAUAAGCCGGUUGUGAAAGCCCCGGGCUCAACCUGGGAACGGCAUCCGGAACUGUCAGGCUAGAGUGCAGGAGAGGAAGGUAGAAUUCCCGGUGUAGCGGUGAAAUGCGUAGAGAUCGGGAGGAAUACCAGUGGCGAAGGCGGCCUUCUGGACUGACACUGACGCUGAGGUGCGAAAGCGUGGGUAGCAAACAGGAUUAGAUACCCCAGUAGUC